Molecule: ribosomal RNA, 419 nt
Filed under: uncultured archaeon
Lineage: Archaea
Description: bacterial SSU rRNA
Rfam family: Archaeal small subunit ribosomal RNA
Source: RNAcentral
CCUUCGCCGAGUUGGCGGGGGACCACCAAGUGGUCAGGAUGAUUAUUGGGCCUAAAGCAUCCGUAGCCCGUUUUGUAAGUUUUCGGUUAAAUCCAUGCGCUUAACGUAUGGGCUGCCGGGAAUACUGCAUAACUAGGAAGUGGGAGAGGUAGACGGUACUCGGUAGGAAGGGGUAAAAUCCUUUGAUCUAUUGAUGACCACCUGUGGCGAAGGCGGUCUACCAGAACACGUUCGACGGUGAGGGAUGAAAGCUGGGGGAGCAAACCGGAUUAGAUACCCGGGUAGUCCCAGCUGUAAACUAUGCAAACUCAGUGAUGCAUUGGCUUAUGGCCAAUGCAGUGCUGCAGGGAAGCCGUUAAGUUUGCCGCCUGGGAAGUACGUACGCAAGUAUGAAACUUAAAGGAAUUGGCGGGGGAGCA